UACGUAGGGUGCGAGCGUUAAUCGGAAUUACUGGGCGUAAAGCGUGCGUAGGCGGCUAUGUAAGACAGAUGUGAAAUCCCUGGGCUUAACCUAGGAACUGCAUUUGUGACUGCAUAGCUAGAGUGUGGUAGAGGGAGAUGGAAUUCCGCAUGUAGCAGUGAAAUGCGUAGAUAUGCGGAGGAACACCAAUGGCGAAGGCAAUCUCCUGGACCUGCACUGACGCUCAUGCACGAAAGCGUGGGGAGCAAACAGG
RNAcentral lists this ribosomal RNA (253 nucleotides) under uncultured bacterium. Its description in RNAcentral is "partial 16S ribosomal RNA". It matches the Rfam family "Bacterial small subunit ribosomal RNA", at positions 524 to 776 of the family's 1533-position model. The record is from RNAcentral.